RNAcentral lists this long non-coding RNA (309 nucleotides) under Anas platyrhynchos platyrhynchos (common mallard). RNAcentral's name for it is "lncRNA (ENSAPLG00000018321.1)". Lineage: Eukaryota; Metazoa; Chordata; Aves; Anseriformes; Anatidae. The record is from RNAcentral.
UGUUCGCACUGGCUAACACACACUGGUGAUGUGCGUAUCUGUACAAGCUCCUCUGGAAGAAGUCUAGCUGCUGCUUGUUAAGCAGCUUCUUUUUUCCUGAUGCUUACUGGAAGGAAGCUGUAUAGUCUAGGAUCCUGGAGCUUAUCUAUUCACUUGCCAUCUCCUAUUAGAAGAGUGAAUCCAGGAUGUCCACUUCUGAAGGACACAGGUCUUUCUAGAAAGGAUAUACAGCUCUCCGUGUUAGUGAAUUUCAAGGACUCUUGCUGUUGGCUGGCAGCACUUCUCACCACCUUUAUCAGUAACAGGUGA